RNAcentral lists this ribosomal RNA (241 nucleotides) under uncultured bacterium. Its description in RNAcentral is "partial 16S ribosomal RNA". It matches the Rfam family "Bacterial small subunit ribosomal RNA", at positions 537 to 776 of the family's 1533-position model. The record is from RNAcentral.
AGCGUUGUUCGGAAUUACUGGGCGUAAAGGGCUCGUAGGCGGCCAACUAAGUCAGACGUGAAAUCCCUCGGCUUAACCGGGGAACUGCGUCUGAUACUGGAUGGCUUGAGUUUGGGAGAGGGAUGCGGAAUUCCAGGUGUAGCGGUGAAAUGCGUAGAUAUCUGGAGGAACACCGGUGGCGAAGGCGGCAUCCUGGACCAACACUGACGCUGAGUGAGCGAAAGCCAGGGGAGCAAACGGG